Non-coding RNA from Vigna angularis (adzuki bean), 60 nucleotides. The record is from Rfam. NCBI's taxonomy places the organism in Eukaryota, Viridiplantae, Streptophyta, Magnoliopsida, Fabales, Fabaceae.
AUCGUCUAGCGGUUCAGGACAUCUCUCUUUCAAAGAGGCAGCGGGGAUUCAACUUCCCCU